AUGAAUAGCUUAAGUUGGAACUGCCGGGGAGCGGGGAAUAGCCGGACAGUUCGAGAACUUGCAACUCUUUGCCAGUCGCAUUCCCCCACUCUAGUCUUCUUAUGUGAGACGAGGCAAAAAGAAUAAAAGCUGAGAAGACUAAGGGGUCGUUUGGGUUUGAAAGGAUUUUCUGGUGUGGAUAGUUGCGGUUUGAGUGGUGGUUUGGCACUGUUUUGGCAUGAAUCAUAUGAAGUACAAGUGCUAGACAAGAAUGAACGGUAUAUUGAUGCAUUAGUUCGGGUCCACUGUGAUGCUGCACAAUGGAGAGUGAUGUGCGUAUAUGGAGAGCCGAGAGUUGAGAAUAGACUAGUCAUGUGGACAACGCUACAGAAUCUGAAAAAUGUUAGUGACUUGCCAUGGUUAGCUAUCGGUGAUUUUAACGAGGCUAUGUGGGAUUUUGAGCAUAUAUCUGCCACGCCAAGACCACCAGCCCAGAUGGUGGUCUUCCGAGAUGCACUGGAGGUUUGCGGUCUUGUAGACCUCGGUUUCAUUGGAGUGCCGUUCACCUAUGACAACAAACGCAGCAGGGCGAGCAACGUCAAGGUCAGGCUGGACAGAGCAGUAGCAACGAGCGAGUGGAGGAACAUGUUUGCAUUUUCUUCUAUCUUGCAUAUCCCAUCACCGUGCUCGGACCAUGUGGCUGUUUUGUUGAAAGGCUCGGCUGACCCGGGUCCGUCAGGGAAAAGUAGUAGAAGGUACGAGUUAUUCUAG
Molecule: ribosomal RNA, 750 nt
Filed under: Triticum aestivum (bread wheat)
Lineage: Eukaryota; Viridiplantae; Streptophyta; Magnoliopsida; Poales; Poaceae
Description: partial small subunit ribosomal RNA
Source: RNAcentral